Molecule: antisense RNA, 75 nt
Filed under: Frankia sp. ACN1ag
Lineage: Bacteria; Bacillati; Actinomycetota; Actinomycetes; Frankiales; Frankiaceae
Description: ASpks sRNA
Rfam family: ASpks TB sRNA
Source: RNAcentral
CUUCACCGAUCCCAGCCACAGCGGCCGGCCGGCCGGGCGAUCCCGGCCGUAGGUGGCCUGCAAGGCCUGUGCCUC